UCAAAGCGGAUAAUUUGGCGC
RNAcentral lists this non-coding RNA (21 nucleotides) under Arabidopsis thaliana (thale cress). Lineage: Eukaryota; Viridiplantae; Streptophyta; Magnoliopsida; Brassicales; Brassicaceae. The record is from RNAcentral.